UCGGGAGUGAUAGAGUGGCGCACGGGUGAGUAACACGUAUGUGACUACCCAUUUGCGGGGGAUAACGGCGGGAGGCUGAAGCUAAUACCGCAUAAGUAUUAUAGUUUGAACUACUAUAUCAGAAAGUCGGCCUCUGAUUUAAGCCGGCGCAGAUNGAUGGGCCUGCGGACCAUUAGUUUGUUGGUGGGGUAACGGCCUACCAAGGCGAUGAUAGUUAGCCGGUCUGAGAGGAUGAUCGGCCACACUGGAACUGAGACGAGGUCCANACUCCUACGGGAGGCAGCAGUAGGGAAUAUUGCGCAAUGGGCGAAAGCCUGACGCAGCAAUGCCGCGUGAGGGAGGACGGUUUUCGGACUGUAAACCUCUGUCAAAAGGGACAAAUUGUUUAUAUGUAAAUAGCAUAUAGAUUUGAUGGUACCUUUAGAGGAAGCACCGGCUAACUCCGUGCCAGCAGCCGCGGUAAUACGGAGGGUGCAAACGUUGUUCGGAUUUAUUGGGCGUAAAGCGCAGCGCAGGCGGGAAAGCAAGUCAGGUGUGAAAUCUCGGGGCCUAACUCCGAAACUGCGCCUGAAACUGUUUACCUAGAAUCCCGGAGGGGGAUGGGGAAUUUCUCAUGUAGGGGUAAAAUCCGUAGAGAUUGAGA
This 643-nucleotide ribosomal RNA is filed under the name uncultured organism. Its description in RNAcentral is "bacterial SSU rRNA". It matches the Rfam family "Bacterial small subunit ribosomal RNA", at positions 81 to 702 of the family's 1533-position model. The record is from RNAcentral.